CCGUGGCCUGGUUCAAGUAAUCCAGGAUAGGCUGUUACCAUCCCCGGCCUAUUCUCGAUUACUUGUCCCAGGCACUG
Struthio camelus australis is the source of this 77-nucleotide non-coding RNA. The record is from Rfam. Lineage: Eukaryota; Metazoa; Chordata; Aves; Struthioniformes; Struthionidae.